This 1074-nucleotide long non-coding RNA is filed under the name Sus scrofa (pig). RNAcentral's name for it is "lncRNA (ENSSSCG00070004787.1)". Lineage: Eukaryota; Metazoa; Chordata; Mammalia; Artiodactyla; Suidae. The record is from RNAcentral.
GUGAGAGGAGGUCCCAGCUCUUGCUCCUGCCUCAGCCUCUCUGACUUCCUUCAGAGGAUCCCUUGGGGCCUCUUUCUUGAUUCUGUUGAUAAGCAGUAGAGGGUGGGGUCUUGGGAGGCUGUAUGUGUUUUAGGCAGCACCUCACAACCACACAAGUUCAGAAGAGCCUGCAGUUCUUGCUGCCCGCAUCUGAUUUUCAUCCAAGACAAGGCAGAACUUUCCUCCUCCCUCCCCUCCACCAAAAUGAAAGCUCUGUGACCUCAGGUGACUCCACAAAGUCCACUGCGUUUCAGUGACUUCACCUGUAAGAAGGAGAUCUUACCCCCUGCCCUGCCCGCCUCCUGGGGCUGGCUGUCCAGAGCCCAGGGGAUGGCACAUGGAAAGGAAUUAAGUGCUAAUGGCCAAAGCCUGGCUGGAUGCUUGGGGAGCUGAGGACCUGCCUUGGCCCCUGUCCCUGCUUUCAAGACAUUUAGUUCGUUCAAAUACGUGUGAAUGCAUGAAAAUGUAAUAAUGCAAAGUACCAACCAAGUUCAUAAAGGCUUGCCUGGGGGGCUGGGAGUGGGGAGGGACCAGGUUUGAGAGUAGAAUAAUUUAUUUUUCCAAAAUACACAUUCAGGAUUUCCCAUCAUGGCUCAGUGGUUAAUGAAUCUGACUAGGAACCAUGAGGUUUCGAGUUCGAUCCCUGGCCUUGCUCAGGGGGUUAAGGAUCCAGCAUUGCCAUGAGCUGUGGUGUAGGUUGCAGAUGCGGCUCGGAUCCCGCGUUGCUGUAGAUCUGGCGUAGGCUGGUGGCUACAGCUCCGAUUCGACCCCUAGCCUGGGAACCUCCAUAUGCCCCAGGUGCGGCCCUAGAAAAGACAAAAAAAAAAGACAAAAUACACAAUGCAUUUAGUCUUUUUAAGGAGAAUGAUAGAGUCAAAUUGUGCCUCCAGCUUAAUGAGGCAGACACAGACCUUCAGGAGGUAAGAGGAGUGAGAAAGUCCUGGGGGCAUCAGUGGUCAGAAAAGACCUUGUGGACCUGGCACCUUGGGCCAUGAAGAAGGGACCAGUUUGGAUGGACAGGAGACAGCUAUGGUG